Molecule: long non-coding RNA, 331 nt
Organism: Erpetoichthys calabaricus (reedfish)
Lineage: Eukaryota; Metazoa; Chordata; Cladistia; Polypteriformes; Polypteridae
Exons: 3
Source: RefSeq, a predicted model, not a curated record
CACACUGUAACACAGAGAGCAUUGGUAAAUGGCAUUGAACUGUCUGGAAAUAGAAAAAGAGAAGCUGCCAUUUCCAGUAACCUAUAGAAGAUGGAAGAGGAGCAUCUGACUAUCUAAGACCCUCUGGAGAUGGGAUAUAAAAGAAAAAGAGAAGCUGCCAUUUCCAGUAACCUAUAGAAGAUGGAAGAGGAGCAUCUGACUAUCUAAGACCCUCUGGAGAUGGGAUAUAAAGUGAGUAAAGUAACCUCAUAAUAUGAAAAUAAUGACGAGAAAUGUGGCAGGUGCUGCACAGACUGGAGGAAAGAAAAUGGCUUGAGCUCAACGUGAUUGG